Molecule: ribosomal RNA, 512 nt
Filed under: uncultured Pseudomonadota bacterium
Lineage: Bacteria; Pseudomonadati; Pseudomonadota
Description: bacterial SSU rRNA
Rfam family: Bacterial small subunit ribosomal RNA
Source: RNAcentral
GACCAAAAAGGGGGACCUUCGGGCCUCUUGCCAUCGGAUGUGCCCAGAUGGGAUUAGCUAGUAGGUGGGGUAACGGCUCACCUAGGCGACGAUCCCUAGCUGGUCUGAGAGGAUGACCAGCCACACUGGAACUGAGACACGGUCCAGACUCCUACGGGAGGCAGCAGUGGGGAAUAUUGCACAAUGGGCGCAAGCCUGAUGCAGCCAUGCCGCGUGUAUGAAGAAGGCCUUCGGGUUGUAAAGUACUUUCAGCGGGGAGGAAGGGAGUAAAGUUAAUACCUUUGCUCAUUGACGUUACCCGCAGAAGAAGCACCGGCUAACUCCGUGCCAGCAGCCGCGGUAAUACGGAGGGUGCAAGCGUUAAUCGGAAUUACUGGGCGUAAAGCGCACGCAGGCGGUUUGUUAAGUCAGAUGUGAAAUCCCCGGGCUCAACCUGGGAACUGCAUCUGAUACUGGCAAGCUUGAGUCUCGUAGAGGGGGGUAGAAUUCCAGGUGUAGCGGUGAAAUGCGUA